CCCUUAGAUGUUCUGGGCCGCACGCGCGCUACACUGAUGCAUUCAACAAGCCUAGCCUUGACCGAGAGGUCCGGGUAAUCUUUGAAACUGCAUCGUGAUGGGGCUAGAUUAUUGCAAUUAUUAAUCUUCAACGAGGAAUGCCUAGUAAGCGUGAUUCAUCAAAUCGCGUUGAUUACGUCCCUGCCCUUUGUACACACCGCCCGUCGCUCCUACCGAUUGACUGUGUUGGUGAGGAGCUCGGAUUGGCAGCAGUUGGUGGUUCGCCACCGGCUAUUGCUGAGAAGUCCUCCAAACCGCCCCAUUUAGAGGAAGGAGAAGUCGUAACA
RNAcentral lists this ribosomal RNA (326 nucleotides) under uncultured eukaryote. RNAcentral's name for it is "partial 18S ribosomal RNA". It matches the Rfam family "Eukaryotic small subunit ribosomal RNA", at positions 1470 to 1796 of the family's 1831-position model. The record is from RNAcentral.